RNAcentral lists this transfer RNA (77 nucleotides) under Latilactobacillus fuchuensis. Its description in RNAcentral is "Lactobacillus fuchuensis tRNA-Arg". It matches the Rfam family "tRNA". From Rfam's summary of the family: Transfer RNA (tRNA) molecules are approximately 80 nucleotides in length. Their secondary structure includes four short double-helical elements and three loops (D, anti-codon, and T loops). Lineage: Bacteria; Bacillati; Bacillota; Bacilli; Lactobacillales; Lactobacillaceae. The record is from RNAcentral.
GUCGCAGUAGCUCAGCUGGAUAGAGCAACGGUCUUCUAAACCGUAGGUCAUGAGUUCGAAUCUCAUCUGCGGCACUA